CAGAAUCUUCUGCGGUAAAACUU
This 23-nucleotide unclassified non-coding RNA is filed under the name Mus musculus (house mouse). RNAcentral's name for it is "oocyte_clustered_small_RNA4788". Lineage: Eukaryota; Metazoa; Chordata; Mammalia; Rodentia; Muridae. The record is from RNAcentral.